CGUAGGGUGCGAGCGUUAAUCGGAAUUACUGGGCGUAAAGCGUGCGCAGGCGGUUUUGUAAGACAGAUGUGAAAUCCCCGGGCUCAACCUGGGACCUGCAUUUGUGACUGCAAGGCUAGAGUACGGUAGAGGGGGAUGGAAUUCCGCGUGUAGCAGUGAAAUGCGUAGAUAUGCGGAGGAACACCGAUGGCGAAGGCAAUCCCCUGGACCUGUACUGACGCUCAUGCACGAAAGCGUGGGGAGCAAACAGGAUUGGAUACCCUGGUAGUCCACGCCCUAAACGAUGUCAACUGGUUGUUGGGUCUUUACUGACUCAGUAACGAAGCUAACGCGUGAAGUUGACCGCCUGGGGAGUACGGCCGCAAGGUUG
This 370-nucleotide ribosomal RNA is filed under the name uncultured organism. RNAcentral's name for it is "bacterial SSU rRNA". It matches the Rfam family "Bacterial small subunit ribosomal RNA", at positions 526 to 896 of the family's 1533-position model. The record is from RNAcentral.